CCUACAAGGCUGCAGAAGUGCUGCAUGACUGGGCCCCAGAGGCCAGCCCCAUGCGCGUGGUCCCCAGCCCUAGCACAGCUGUAGAGGCACCACUGAGCUCGGCCGAGCUGGUGGAAGUGGACACCGUCGCCGCCUCCGAUGGGCAACAGGCUGGCAAUGACCAAAAGGCAACAGUGGGCACAGGCCGCACCGAGGUGGAGCCCGGGGCCAGGUCCGUGGCCCACAUUUUCCCACAGAACGCCCGU
Long non-coding RNA from Ochotona curzoniae (black-lipped pika), 245 nucleotides. RefSeq lists it as uncharacterized. The record is from RefSeq and is a predicted model, not a curated record. The transcript has 3 exons. NCBI's taxonomy places the organism in Eukaryota, Metazoa, Chordata, Mammalia, Lagomorpha, Ochotonidae.